AACGGAGUGCCUGAAUAAAGGGUUACCUUGAUAGGGUAAAUUAAGUAAUCUCAAAAUUACCUCCGUUA
This 68-nucleotide transfer RNA is filed under the name Asiotmethis zacharjini. RNAcentral describes it as "tRNA-Ile". The record is from RNAcentral. Lineage: Eukaryota; Metazoa; Arthropoda; Insecta; Orthoptera; Pamphagidae.